This 159-nucleotide small nuclear RNA is filed under the name Tursiops truncatus (common bottlenose dolphin). RNAcentral's name for it is "U12 minor spliceosomal RNA (ENSTTRG00000023672.1)". It matches the Rfam family "U12 minor spliceosomal RNA". From Rfam's summary of the family: Although the U12 sequence is very divergent from that of U2, the two are functionally analogous. Lineage: Eukaryota; Metazoa; Chordata; Mammalia; Artiodactyla; Delphinidae. The record is from RNAcentral.
AUGCCUUAAACUUAUGAGUAAGGAAAAUAAUGAUUUGGGGUGGUGCCAAAUCCUUACUGCUAAUGUGAGGUGAAUUUUUGAGUGGGUAAAGGUUGCCCAAAUAAGGUGACCUGCUUAUUUUGCAGGAUGCCUGGGAGUUGUGAUUUGGCAAUCUGCUUA